Molecule: non-coding RNA, 355 nt
Filed under: Pongo abelii (Sumatran orangutan)
Lineage: Eukaryota; Metazoa; Chordata; Mammalia; Primates; Hominidae
Source: RNAcentral
CAACCACCCAGCUUCUCUCCAGAUGGCAUCCCAUCAUCCGCAGCAUCUCAACCUUUAUCUCCUAUCUCCUUCCUCAUCUCCUUCCUAAGUAAAGAACACCUUCCAACUCAACAUAAGGCAGCUACAGGUUGGAGUGCAAUGGCACAAUCUCGGCUCACGACAACCUCUGCCUCCCGGGUAUAAGUGAUUCUCCUGCCUCAGCCUCCCGAGUAGCUGAGAUUACAGUUUACCAAAGUGCUUGUUUGUUACAGUUAAAAACACAGCCCACAGGCACUGAGGUGGGACUACAGAACCUUGCUGGACCACAUCUUUUCAGCACAUUUCUGUGACCCUCUGUUUUUGACGGAGAAAACAA